Molecule: ribosomal RNA, 427 nt
Filed under: uncultured bacterium
Lineage: Bacteria
Description: partial 16S ribosomal RNA
Rfam family: Bacterial small subunit ribosomal RNA
Source: RNAcentral
UGGGGAAUAUUGCACAAUGGGCGCAAGCCUGAUGCAGCCAUGCCGCGUGUAUGAAGAAGGCCUUCGGGUUGUAAAGUACUUUCAGCGAGGAGGAAGGCGGUAAGGUUAAUAACCUUAUCGAUUGACGUUACUCGCAGAAGAAGCACCGGCUAACUCCGUGCCAGCAGCCGCGGUACUACGGAGGGUGCAAGCGUUAAUCGGAAUUACUGGGCGUAAAGCGCACGCAGGCGGUCUGUCAAGUCGGAUGUGAAAUCCCCGGGCUCAACCUGGGAACUGCAUUCGAAACUGGCAGGCUAGAGUCUUGUAGAGGGGGGUAGAAUUCCAGGUGUAGCGGUGAAAUGCGUAGAGAUCUGGAGGAAUACCGGUGGCGAAGGCGGCCCCCUGGACAAAGACUGACGCUCAGGUGCGAAAGCGUGGGGAGCAAACA